CCGGAUUAGAUACCCGGGUAGUCCUAGGUGUAAACGCUGUGGACUUGGUGUUGGGGAAGCCCAGAGCUUUCCCAGUGCCGUAGCGAAGGUGUUGAGUCCACUGCCUGGGGAGUACGGUCGCAAGGCUGAAACUUAAAGGAAUUGGCGGGGGAGCACCGCAACCGGAGGAGUGUGCGGUUUAAUUGGAUUCAACGCCGGAAAACUCACCAGCAUCGACGGACAAAUGAAAGCCAACUUAACGAGUUUGCUGGAUUGUUCGAGAGGUCGUGCAUGGCCGCCGUCAGUUCGUACCGUAAGGCGUUCUGUUAAGUCAGAUAACGAACGAGACCCUCAUCCUUAUUUGCCACCCUAUCGCUUGCGAUAGGACGGGACUAUAAGGAGACCGCUGGCGCUAAGUCAGAGGAAGGCGAGGGCAACGGUAGGUCAGUAUGCGCCGAAUAUGCUGGGCUACACGCGCACUACAAAGGAUGGGACAAUGAGCAGCUACACCGAGAGGUGAUGCGAUCCCGAAACCCAUUCGUAGUUCGGAUCGAG
Molecule: ribosomal RNA, 534 nt
Filed under: marine metagenome
Description: bacterial SSU rRNA
Rfam family: Archaeal small subunit ribosomal RNA
Source: RNAcentral